UACGAAGGGGGCGAGCGUUAUUCGGAAUCACUGGGCGUAAAGCGUGCGUAGGCUGUUCAGAAAGUCAGGAGUGAAAGCCCAAGGCUCAACCUUGGAAGUGCUCUUGAAACUUCUGGACUAGAAUUCAGGAGAGGAUAGCGGAAUUCCCAGUGUAGCAGUGAAAUGCGUAGAUAUCCGGAGGAACACCAAAGGCGAAGGCAGUGUCCUGGGGAGUACCUGACGCUCAGGUGCGAAAGCCAGGGGAGCGAACGGG
RNAcentral lists this ribosomal RNA (253 nucleotides) under uncultured bacterium. Its description in RNAcentral is "partial 16S ribosomal RNA". It matches the Rfam family "Bacterial small subunit ribosomal RNA", at positions 524 to 776 of the family's 1533-position model. The record is from RNAcentral.